This is a small nucleolar RNA of Grammomys surdaster, 131 nucleotides long. RefSeq annotates it as small nucleolar RNA SNORA17. The transcript has a single exon. The record is from RefSeq and is a predicted model, not a curated record. Lineage: Eukaryota; Metazoa; Chordata; Mammalia; Rodentia; Muridae.
UCUGCCUCUAGAGGGGUUACAGGUGUGGCGGCAUGUCACAUGCACAUCAGUAAGUGACAGAAAGGAGAAAAGCAUUUUCUAUGCUCAGUAUUCUGACCUGUGAACAUCUGAGUGAUUACUAGUCUAAAGUU